Vitis riparia (riverbank grape) is the source of this 520-nucleotide long non-coding RNA. RefSeq lists it as uncharacterized. The transcript is spliced from 2 exons. Lineage: Eukaryota; Viridiplantae; Streptophyta; Magnoliopsida; Vitales; Vitaceae. The record is from RefSeq and is a predicted model, not a curated record.
UGAUUCCUUCAAUUUCAUGAUUUUGAUUUUUGUAGGUGGUUUUGAUGUUUGAAUGUUUGGUUGUUUCGUUGAUUCGAGAUGCUCCGAAUUCGGUCGUGUUCUGUUGGCCAUUUUAGAUUGGGUUUAUGAAUCACAGUCCUACAUGACCUGGAGCAUCAAUAUCGGCCCAAUGAAUUUGAUUUGCCUAGAUGGGUUCUAGUAUUUGAAUUUGGUGAUUUGAUUGUGAAGUUGAAGUUGGAAGAAAAAAUAAAGAGUUUAGGAAAAAAAAAAAGAAACCAAAAAAAUAUUGGAUUUUGAAAAUGGAAACAGUCAUAAGUUCUUGGAAUUUGAAAUUGGCUUCACAAUGAAUGCUGUUUAUGUAGGUUCUUGGCAUUUUGCUUAGACAAAUUUUAACCCAUCCAAAGUUGAUGUUCCUGUGAUGGUAGAUAUGUUCUGUUAGCAUGUUGAAUUCAGUUUGCUGGUGCAGUGACAGUUGCUAUCCGCAUGGCUGUAAUCAAGCUCAAAAUUUUUAUUGGUUUUA